RNAcentral lists this ribosomal RNA (869 nucleotides) under uncultured archaeon. Its description in RNAcentral is "bacterial SSU rRNA". It matches the Rfam family "Archaeal small subunit ribosomal RNA", at positions 27 to 900 of the family's 1478-position model. The record is from RNAcentral.
CCGCUAUUGGAGUCCGAUUAAGACAUGCGAGUCGAGAGCUUUCGGAGCUCGGCAUACUGCUCAGUAACACGUGGGUAACCUGCCCUAUGCUGGGGGAUAACCUCGGGAAACUGAGAACAAUACCCCAUAGUCCACUACGCCUGGAACGGUGAGUGGAUGAAAGCCCCGGCGGCAUAGGAUGGGCCUGCGGCGUAUCAGGUUGUAGGGGGUGUAAUGUACCCUCUAGCCCUCGACGCGUACGGGUUGUGAGAGCAAUAGCCCGGAGAUGGAUUCUGAGACAAGAAUCCAGGUCCUACGGGACGCAGCAGUCGCGAAACCUUGACAAUGCGGGAAACCGUGAUCAGGGGACUCCAAGUGCCAGGAGUAAGAUCCUGUGCUUUUCAUCUCUCUUCAAAGGAUUUGGAAUAAGAGGUGGGUAAGGACGGUGCCAGCCGCCGCGGUAAUACCGGCGCCUCAAGUGGUAGUCGAUUUUAUUGGGCCUAAAACGUCCGUCGCCGGUCUGGUGCAUUCGUGGGUAAAUCAACCCGCUCAACGGGUUGAAUUCUGCGAGCACGGCCAGACUAGGGACCGGGAGAGGUGUAGGGUACGCUCGGGGUAGGGGUAAAAUCCUGUCAUCCCGAGCGGACCACCUGUUGCGAAGGCGCUACACUAGAACGGAUCCGACGGUCAGGGACGAAGCCUAGGGGCACGAACCGGAUUAGAUACCCGGGUAGUCCUAGGUGUAAACGCUGUGGACUUGGUGUUGGAAGCUCCCAGAGGGCUUUCAGUGCCGUAGCGAAGGUGAUAAGUCCACUGCCUGGGGAGUACGGUCGCAAGGCUGAAACUUAAAGGAAUUGGCGGGGGAACACCGCAACCUGAGGAUUGUGCGG